Molecule: unclassified non-coding RNA, 361 nt
Filed under: Hevea brasiliensis (rubber tree)
Lineage: Eukaryota; Viridiplantae; Streptophyta; Magnoliopsida; Malpighiales; Euphorbiaceae
Source: RNAcentral
CUUGAAAAAUUAAAAAAAAAAAAAUCAUGCCAGGACAGUGAAGUCAUAGAUUAAUCAGCUAUUAGAAGAACAUGUUAAUGCUGGUUUAAAUUUGUACUAUUGAAUCUAUCGCUGUGCAUUCAAGCAUAAAGCUUUGUCCAUUGUUGAGAUAUUUCCUGGUGUGCUGUUCCAUGUUACGGCAGAGCUCAUGUCUAUUGGCAAAACAUAAAUUAUUUUCUUUCCUACUAUUUUGUGAAUCACACCAAAUAAAAUGAGAAGCCAUUCAAAUUCAACAAUUAAAUGAGAGCAAAGAUACUUAACCUGCUAUAAAAUCCACAAUAAAGCUUAGCUUAGCAAAAUCCAACUAAUUAAUCCACAUAUA